Molecule: long non-coding RNA, 4131 nt
Organism: Beta vulgaris subsp. vulgaris (sugar beet)
Lineage: Eukaryota; Viridiplantae; Streptophyta; Magnoliopsida; Caryophyllales; Amaranthaceae
Exons: 3
Source: RefSeq, a predicted model, not a curated record
UCAGCUAUUUGGAACGGGCGGUAUGGUCCUCGAAUAUCAACGUAGGCCUUGGGCGGCAUGGUCCAAUGAGUUUACUCACAGACGGCAUGGUCUGUUGUGUUUGAGCUCGUUGACCGCAUUUGUUGCAUGGUUGACCGGGUUUUGGUGUGAUAUUGGAUUUCCAUAUUGGUUGCUUAUGAGUAUUUGUACCUCGUUGUGAGUAAGAUAUAUUGGUAAUGUGUUCUUUGAUGUUGUUUCAAAUUUCUUUUAAGUUCAUUAUCUGUUUCUAUUUGAGCUGGGAGAACUGCUAGUUACUCCCCACUGAUUGUGGAAGUUGUUGAUUUAUUAUGUAGAUGGUGAUGUUGUUUAGGAUCGUCACGGUUUGGACCGGGGUUGUGCGUUUUAACCUUUUGAGCAAGAAAGUGGUGCUAGUCAUAGUGGACGAGCACUUUGAAGCUGGAGUUAGGACUAGUUACUUAGUAGGUCUUAAGUAGCUAUCCUCUUGUCUUAUCACAUGUUUUGAAGUACGGAUUUCUAGUUGUCUUUUGGUUUGGAUUUUCUCUAUUUUGAGGUUUCUUUUGGAAAUCAUAUGUUGUUUUGAGACUUGUAGGAAUGAGGGUAUGGGACCUCAUUUCCCUUUUUAUAUAUGAUUUCGGAGGUUGAAUAUUUGUCUUUGAAGGAUUAUUCUUAUCUUUAGUUUCAUAUUCUACUUCUUGGAGUAGCAUCUCCGUCUUAGUGGUAUUUCCGCUGCCGCUAAGUUGCACUAUUUCUUUUACUUUAGUCUCCACUCUUCUUUGUAUUGGACGGGAUGUUACACUAACGCUUCACUUGCCAUCUUCCAUUUUCAUUCUACUGUAUUACAACUAGCAAUUACAAUUUUGGAGUACUUUGCCACCGAAGACACGCUGCACUAGAGUUUCUCAAAGGUGGUUAGUUUAUAAUUCAUUUCUUCAUAUACAAAGUAAUUUAUUUUUAGAUCUUGAUUAUUUGUUAAAUGAAACUACAUUGGAAUGUAGAAUUUUAAUACUUUUUUUACUGGAAAAAUUGCUUAAUAUUCUACUGUAUCUUGAUUUUUUCUUAGUUUUCUUUUUAUUUUCUUAUGAAUUUAGUUAUGAAGAUAUUUUACCCAAAAAUUUGGUUAUUUUUUUUAAAUAUUCUGAAAGUUAUUUUCAGAUCUAAAAAUUUGAAAGGUAAAAUUCUGUAUUAGUUUUUUCUCAUCAAUCUAAUUUUCUGGAACUUCAUCUUCAUAUAUCUUCUUGUAUCUUCAUAGAGAAAAAGGUUCGUGUAUUUCGUCUCUUUGAUGGGGCAAGUAUCACAACCCCAUCUUUGACAUUGAUGUCGAUAAGCUAAAUAGUGUUAUGCAUGAUUAGAUCAGAUUUUAUAUGUCGUGAAUCUUUGGUUUGAAUAUAAUUGUUUUGUAUGCUGGGUAGUGUUGUAAUUAAUAUGAAUUUUGUUUCUUAUGCUUGAACAAGUUGUUGAAGCUUUAUUGUUGAAAAAUGUAUUAUAUAGAUGGUUCGUAAAAUAAACCAAAAUGGUGAGGGAGAUAAAAAAAAAGCAAAUAACAAUGAGAACUAAGAAAGGGGAGAUGUAGGCAGAAUUACUUGGUCAAAAGAAUUAAUCUUAAUGCUUCUUGAUCUUUGUAUCAAACAUACUCUAUGGAGUAAAGGGGAAAAUGGUAUAGUAACUUCACACAAGCUAUUAUGGAAAAAAGUGGUGGAUGAAUGGGAAAUUAAUACUAAUUUACCAUAGGAUAGAUCUCGACUCAAAAAUAAGUUAGACGGGUUGAGGCCCAAAGUGAUACUCUGAAAACAAUUAAAAGGCAAAGAGAUAGGUUUAGGAUGGGAUCAUAAAAAAGGAACGGUAGCCGCAAGUAAUGAGUGGUGGGCUUUAAAAAAUUCAAGUUAGUUUUUCUAAUUGUGAUACAUAUAUGGCAUUUGAUAAGAUAAGGGGAGUUUAAAAAAAUUAAUCUUUUUUCUCAUUUUGGUUAGGAAAAUCCGAAAUUUGAAACUUUUCGAGAUGAAGGAAUAGAACCCGAGCUAGAAUAUAGAAUGGAUCAAGUGUUUGGUGGGUGUGCCCAAAGAGCUGAAAAGUACACUCCAGUGGUUGAUGUUAAUGAUGUAGCAAGAGAAGAUGAAGUAUAUGUUCCUUCUCCACCUCCCACUAAUGUUCCUUUUGACGAAUCAUCUGGUUAUAUUCAUGACAUGGAUGAAGUGUGUUCCAAUUUGGGAAAUGAAUGGGAUGCAAUGUGGAGAGAAACUAGCCCUACAUCUUCUAAUCCCAGACAUCCGAAAUGAAAUUAGUGAUAAAAGUAGAGGGAAAAGGGUUAUGAAGAGUGGUUCAUGUCAAAGCAACAAAAGUGCAAAAUUUGAAAGUACUAAGAAGGCUGUAGUAAGUAUUGCACUUUGUGACAAGAUUGAUGGUAUGGUGCAACUUAUUUCAGAGAGAAAUACUGCAACCAAAGACUUUCAGCUUGCUAUGGCUAAUAUGAUGAAUACUAUGAAUAUUAGUGCUCCAAAAUAUUUUGUGACUGAUGCUAUGGUUAAGUUGUGCUCAGUGACUGAUUUGGAUUCUAAUUCUCAUGUUUACUUUGCUUGUACUCUCAUUGAAGAUCCAUAAAGAAGGACUAUUUUGCUUGAGUUUCCAGAUGACAAAAAACGAGUUGAUUACACUCAUUUUAUCUAUGCACGACAUACAUAGGGCAAGUAGUUCGUGUUACCUGCAUUAUAUAUGUAUCAUGGGAAUGUUAGACAUGUAGGUCUUGAUCCCCUUCGGUUAUGCUAAUUAUAUAGGCCUUGACCCCCUUAAAAUAUUUUGGAGUACUUAAAUAUGAAUGAUCGGGUUUUUUUGUUGGAUGAGUUUAUAUCAUCUACAUUUUGUAUAAACUAACUUGUUAUAUUAUAGUGAUGUUAGUAGUAAUCUUUAACUUGCUACACUUUUUGGUUUUAUUUGUAAGUAUGGAUUAUAAUGUGCAAUUGAAAAUGCUCCUUCUAUAUAGUGACUAUAUGGAUACUGAUGACAACUUUUGGGAUAUGAUAGCUUGUACAACCGGUUAUAUUAGCAUGCAUUACUUAAGUCAUAUACGUAAGGCACCAUGCAUGACCUCAUCUUUGACAGGAGAAAUGUGGAUGGAUGAAAUACUCAAUGGUCAUGAAACUAGAUGUUUUAAUGCCCUUAGAAUGUAUUCAAAUUUAUUCAUUCAAUUGUGCACAGAUUGGAAAAUAGGUAUGGUUUGAGACAUUCAUUUAGGAUGUCAGUUGUAGAAAAAGUGGGUAUCUUUGUGUAUGUUCUUGCUCAUGGUGCCCCUAAUAGAGCAAUAUAAGAGCUUUUUCAGCAUUCCGGCGAAACAAUAAGUCGAGUAGUCAAGGAAGUUUUUUGUGCAAUGGAUGGAUUGUCAAGGGAUGUAACUGUACCUAGAGAUCCUGAUUUCAAAUAAAUACCGCAAUAAUUAGCAUCGGAUACUAGAUACAUGCCAUUUUUCAAGGAUUGCAUUGGAGCUAUAGAUGGUACACAUAUAACAGUCAUUGUUCCGAAAGAAGAUCAAAUGCGUUAUAGAGGAAGGAAAGGGAUACCUACUACAAAUGUCUUAGCAGUAAAUACUAUAUGUCGGGGAUAAAGCGUAUCCGGAAAGAAAAGGAUACUUGACACCUUAUCCUAAGACAAGAUACCAUCAAUCAGAGUUUCGUGGUGCAAAUCCAAGGGGGGUAAAAGAAGUCUUCAAUCGUGCUCAUUCAUUUUUGAGAGGUUGCAUUGAAAGGUCUUUCGGAGUUCUUAAAGCUCGAUGGAAAAUAUUAGGCAAAAUGCCUAGAUACUCAUUCAAAGACCAAAAUAGAAUAAUUUCCUCAUGUUUUACAUUGCACAAUUACAUUAGACGAAACAAAGUUGGUGAUCCCGCUUUUAGACUUGUCGAUAAAGAUCUUAAUUUCGUACCUCCUGAGGGACUUGAAGAUAUUGAAGAUAUUGAAGUUAAUCCCCCACAAUGUGUACAAGAAUUGCCAACUAGAGAUAUGACAUCACUCCGUGAUAGCAUUGCUUCUAGCUUGAUGACAGCUAGACGAGUCAAUAGAGUUAGACGUCGAUCUUAGAUUCUUAGAUUAUUUAUUGUUUAAUUUGGAAGUUACAUUUAUAUAUAUAUAUUUAUGGUUUCAUUUGUUA